AUUGAACGCUGGCGGCAUGCUUUACACAUGCAAGUCGAACGGCAGCGCGGGCUUCGGCCUGGCGGCGAGUGGCGAACGGGUGAGUAAUGCAUCGGAACGUGCCCAGAAGUGGGGGAUAGCCCGGCGAAAGCCGGAUUAAUACCGCAUACGACCUGAGGGUGAAAGCGGGGGACCGAAAGGCCUCGCGCUAUUGGAGCGGCCGAUGUCGGAUUAGCUAGUUGGUGGGGUAAAGGCUUACCAAGGCGACGAUCCGUAGCUGGUCUGAGAGGACGACCAGCCACACUGGGACUGAGACACGGCCCAGACUCCUGCGGGAGGCAGCAGUGGGGAAUUUUGGACAAUGGGGGCAACCCUGAUCCAGCCAUGCCGCGUGCGGGAAGAAGGCCUUCGGGUUGUAAACCGCUUUUGUUCGGGAAGAAAUCCUCUGGGCUAAUACCCCGGGGGGAUGACGGUACCGGAAGAAUAAGCACCGGCUAACUACGUG
Molecule: ribosomal RNA, 484 nt
Filed under: uncultured bacterium
Lineage: Bacteria
Description: partial 16S ribosomal RNA
Rfam family: Bacterial small subunit ribosomal RNA
Source: RNAcentral